ACAAGGUUUCCGUAGGUGAACCCGCGGAAGGAUCAUUG
Molecule: ribosomal RNA, 38 nt
Filed under: Facchinia cherlerioides subsp. aretioides
Lineage: Eukaryota; Viridiplantae; Streptophyta; Magnoliopsida; Caryophyllales; Caryophyllaceae
Description: partial 18S ribosomal RNA
Source: RNAcentral